UUCAGAGGUAUGCUCAGUGGAGUGAGUCUGCCAUGGAGGUUGUCUUGACUGUUAGCUUUCAGAAGUGUAUUCACUGAUAGAGGUUGUCAGUGAUUAGACUAAGAUGAAUUGUCAUUCAUUGAUAAAUAAUACAGAACUAUCAGUCUUUCCUAGGAGUAUGGGGAGUUUUUUUUUUUUUUUAAAGUCUCUUUUUUGCAGGUAUAUAAGAGGAAAACUGAGGCUGCCAAGAAAGAGUAUCUGAAGGCACUGGCUGCUUACAAAGACAACCAGGAGUGUCAGGCCACUGUGGAAACAGUGGAAUUGGAUCCAGCACCAUCAUCACAAACUCCUUCUCCACCUCCUAUGGCUACUGUUGACCCAGCAUCUCCAGCACCAGCUUCAAUAGAGCCCCCUGCCCUGUCUCCAUCCAUUGUUGUUAACUCCACCCUUUCAUCCUAUGUGGCAAACCAGGCAUCUUCUGGAGCUGGGGGUCAGCCCAAUAUCACCAAGUUGAUUAUUACCAAACAAAUGUUGCCCUCUUCCAUUACUAUGUCUCAAGGAGGGAUGGUUACUGUUAUCCCAGCCACAGUGGUGACCUCCCGGGG
Molecule: small RNA, 584 nt
Filed under: Pan troglodytes (chimpanzee)
Lineage: Eukaryota; Metazoa; Chordata; Mammalia; Primates; Hominidae
Description: retained intron
Source: RNAcentral